CAGCCGCCGCGGGAAUACGUAGGUGGCAAGCGUUGUCCGGAAUUAUUGGGCGUAAAGGGCACGCAGGCGGUUUCUUAAGUCUGAUGUGAAAGCCCCCGGCUCAACCGGGGAGGGUCAUUGGAAACUGGGAAACUUGAGUGCAGAAGAGGAGAGUGGAAUUCCACGUGUAGCGGUGAAAUGCGUAGAGAUGUGGAGGAACACCAGUGGCGAAGGCGACUCUCUGGUCUGUAACUGACGCUGAGGAGCGAAAGCGUGGGGAGCGAACAGGAUUAGAUACCCCAGUAGUCCCUGUCUCUUAUAC
RNAcentral lists this ribosomal RNA (301 nucleotides) under uncultured bacterium. RNAcentral's name for it is "partial 16S ribosomal RNA". It matches the Rfam family "Bacterial small subunit ribosomal RNA", at positions 509 to 807 of the family's 1533-position model. The record is from RNAcentral.